Molecule: ribosomal RNA, 460 nt
Filed under: uncultured bacterium
Lineage: Bacteria
Description: partial 16S ribosomal RNA
Rfam family: Bacterial small subunit ribosomal RNA
Source: RNAcentral
CCUACGGGCGGCAGCAGUGAGGAAUAUUGGUCAAUGGACGAGAGUCUGAACCAGCUAAGUAGCGUGAAGGAUGACUGCCCUAUGGGUUGUAAACUUCUUUUAUAUGGGAAUAAAAUGUUCCACGUGUGGGAUUUUGUAUGUACCAUAUGAAUAAGGAUCGGCUAACUCCGUGCCAGCAGCCGCGGUAAUACGGAGGAUCCGAGCGUUAUCCGGAUUUAUUGGGUUUAAAGGGAGCGUAGGUGGAUUGUUAAGUCAGUUGUGAAAGUUUGCGGCUCAACCGUAAAAUUGCAGUUGAAACUGGCAGUCUUGAGUACAGUAGAGGUGGGCGGAAUUCGUGGUGUAGCGGUGAAAUGCUUAGAUAUCACGAAGAACUCCGAUUGCGAAGGCAGUUCACUGGACUGCAACUGACACUGAGGCUCGAAAGUGUGGGUAUCAAACAGGAUUAGAUACCCCUGUAGUC